RNAcentral lists this ribosomal RNA (433 nucleotides) under uncultured bacterium. RNAcentral describes it as "partial 16S ribosomal RNA". It matches the Rfam family "Bacterial small subunit ribosomal RNA", at positions 29 to 507 of the family's 1533-position model. The record is from RNAcentral.
AACGAACGCUGGCGGCAUGCCUAACACAUGCAAGUCGAACGAAGGCUUCGGCCUUAGUGGCGCACGGGUGCGUAACGCGUGGGAAUCUGCCCUUUGGUUCGGAAUAACAGCUGGAAACGGCUGCUAAUACCGGAUGAUGACGAAAGUCCAAAGAUUUAUCGCCAGAGGAUGAGCCCGCGUUGGAUUAGGUAGUUGGUGGGGUAAAGGCCUACCAAGCCGACGAUCCAUAGCCGGUCUGAGAGGAUGAUCAGCCACACUGGGACUGAGACACGGCCCAGACUCCUACGGGAGGCAGCAGUGGGGAAUAUUGGACGAUGGGCGCAAGCCUGAUCCAGCAAUGCCGCGUGAGUGAUGAAGGCCCUAGGGUUGUAAAGCUCUUUUACCCGGGAAGAUAAUGACUGUACCGGGAGAAUAAGCCCCGGCUAACUCCGUG